GCUACUAUAGCUCAGGUGGUAGAGCACUGCCUUGGUAAGGCAGAGGUCUCGGGUUCGAGUCCCGAUAGUAGCUCCA
Molecule: transfer RNA, 76 nt
Filed under: Lachnospiraceae bacterium
Lineage: Bacteria; Bacillati; Bacillota; Clostridia; Lachnospirales; Lachnospiraceae
Description: tRNA-Thr
Rfam family: tRNA
About the family: Transfer RNA (tRNA) molecules are approximately 80 nucleotides in length.
Source: RNAcentral